AGGUGGUGCAUGGUUGUCGUCAGCUCGUGUCGUGAGAUGUUGGGUUAAGUCCCGCAACGAGCGCAACCCUUAUUAUCAGUUGCCAGCAUUCAGUUGGGCACUCUGGUGAGACUGCCGGUGACAAACCGGAGGAAGGUGGGGAUGACGUCAAAUCAUCAUGCCCCUUAUGACCUGGGCUACACACGUGCUACAAUGGACGGUACAACGAGUUGCGAAGUCGUGAGGCUAAGCUAAUCUCUUAAAGCCGUUCUCAGUUCGGAUUGUAGGCUGCAACUCGCCUACAUGAAGUUGGAAUCGCUAGUAAUCGCGGAUCAGCAUGCCGCGGUGAAUACGUUCCCGGGCCUUGUACACACCGCCCGUCACACCAUGAGAGUUUGUAACACCCAAAGCCGGUGAGAUAACCUUCGGGAGUCAGCCGUCUAAGGUGGGACAGAUGAUUAGGGUGAAGUCGUAACAAGGUAGCCGUA
RNAcentral lists this ribosomal RNA (467 nucleotides) under Levilactobacillus brevis. RNAcentral describes it as "bacterial SSU rRNA". It matches the Rfam family "Bacterial small subunit ribosomal RNA", at positions 1036 to 1504 of the family's 1533-position model. The record is from RNAcentral. Lineage: Bacteria; Bacillati; Bacillota; Bacilli; Lactobacillales; Lactobacillaceae.